AUAUGAAGCUUUCCUCAAAAGCAUUCUAAACUCUACCGAGACUGUAGCAAGAGGAAGGGUCCAGAGCUUGGACCCAAAUGAUCUAGUUGGUGGUACAGAGAUUGGACCAGAAUGGUGUGAGGUAAACGUUCAAGUACCAAUAAAAAAGAUGAAAACUUGGUAAGACUAUAUGGUUUAUUUUCUACAAUUCAAGAUUGUAUUGGUGCAUCCAUCGCAUAGCCCUAUCCAUUCAUCUCGGUAGUCUAUGAGGAUUGAGGACGCAUGAUGACUCAAGAUUUUAUGCUUCUUAUUUCUUUAAUUGCUUUUAAUUUCUUUGUUAAAUGUUAAGACUUUAUGUUAGAUAAUGUUAUAACUUAUUUAUGGUUAGUGUUUUUGUUAUGAACAUGCUUAUUUGAAAUAUAAUGAAGUUUUAUUUCUU
This 418-nucleotide long non-coding RNA is filed under the name Helianthus annuus (common sunflower). Its description in RNAcentral is "hypothetical non coding rna". Lineage: Eukaryota; Viridiplantae; Streptophyta; Magnoliopsida; Asterales; Asteraceae. The record is from RNAcentral.